CCUACGGGAGGCAGCAGUGAGGAAUAUUGGUCAAUGGACGAGAGUCUGAACCAGCCAAGUAGCGUGAAGGAUGACUGCCCUAUGGGUUGUAAACUUCUUUUAUAAAGGAAUAAAACGAGGCACGUGUGCCUUUUUGCAUGUACUUUAUGAAUAAGGAUCGGCUAACUCCGUGCCAGCAGCCGCGGUAAUACGGAGGAUCCGAGCGUUAUCCGGAUUUAUUGGGUUUAAAGGGAGCGUAGAUGGGUUGUUAAGUCAGUUGUGAAAGUUUGCGGCUCAACCGUAAAAUUGCAAUUGAUACUGGCAGUCUUGAGUACAGUUGAGGUAGGCGGAAUUCGUGGUGUAGCAGUGAAAUGCUUAGAUAUCACGAAGAACCCCGAUUGCGAAGGCAGCUUACUAAACUGUGACUGACAUUGAUGCUCGAAAGUGUGGGUAUCAAACAGGAGUAGAUACCCGUGUAGUC
RNAcentral lists this ribosomal RNA (460 nucleotides) under uncultured bacterium. RNAcentral's name for it is "partial 16S ribosomal RNA". It matches the Rfam family "Bacterial small subunit ribosomal RNA", at positions 338 to 795 of the family's 1533-position model. The record is from RNAcentral.